AUAGCCGAUUCUUGUGUUUUUCUGGGAUAUCCAUUGGGUAAAAGGGGUUACAAGCUGUAUAACUUGAAGAUUAAAAUUACCCUAAUAUCCAUGGAUGUGGUCUUUCAUGAAGAUGUCUUUCCCUUUGCUUCUUCAGGGAAUACCUCCCAUGUUCCUUCUCCUACUCUUAACCCCACUCCUGUUUGGCUUCCUACUACUGAUGAUUCCUUGCACAACACCACUUCCUCACCUUCUUCCACCUAUGAGCCUCUUGCUUCCCCUUCCUUAUCCCCUUCUUCCCUACAAUAAUCCCCUUCAGUGCCUGCAGAACCUGCUCCCAGAAGGUCCAACCGAACUCAUGUUCCUCCUGCUCAUCUCCAACAGUAUGUCUGCAGUCUCCUUCCAUCUCUUUCUGGCCCCAGUUCUUCUUCCACUUGCCUUCACAGUUUGGUUAACAGUGAAGAGUGAGAGCCUACCUCUUAUCAGCAGGCUGCCUUUCUCCCUGAAUGGAAGGAGGCAAUGACAAAGGAGUUUGAAGCCUUGGAAGCUAAUCAUACUUGGUCUAUAGUUCAGCUUCCUCCUGGUAAAAGACCUAUUGGUUGCAAAUGGUCUAUAAGAUCAAGUAUAGGGCUGAUGGGUAUGUGGAAAGAUAUAAAGCUCGAUUGGUUUUUAGGGGUGACACCCAAGUUGAGGGUGUGGAUUUCACUGAAACUUUAUCUCCUGUUGUCAAAUUUUCCACUAUUAAGUCCCUAAUUGUUAUGGCUGUUAAACAGAAUUGGUCUGUUUUUCAAAUUGAUGUGAAUAAUACCUUUUUACAUGGUGAUUUGGAUGAAGAGGUUUAGAUGAGACUGCCUCCUGGGCUGACAGUCAACUGUUCUUCCUCAUCUCCUCCUUUGGUUUGCUUUUUUAAGAAAUCCUUAUACGGUUUGAGACAAGCUUGUAGGCAGUGGUAUGCCAAGCUGUCUCAAGCCUUAUGUUCUAGGGGCUAUUCUUCUUCUUUCAAUGAUUAUUCCUUUUUUCUUAAGAAAUCUGCUUCUUCUAUUUUGUUGUUGGCUGUCUAUGUUGAUGAUAUUAUUCUUACUGGUAAUGAUUUGGAGGAAAUUACUGCCUUGAAGAGUUUCUGGACCUUGAGUUUAAAAUCAAUGACUUGGGAGUUCUCAAUUAUUUUCUUGGAAUUGAAGUCAGUUACCAUUCUGAUGGGCUGCUUCUCCAUCAGAAGAAAUUUAUUACUGACCUUCUCAAGGGAUAUCACUGUGAAGAUGUUACUCCUGUUACUUGUCCUCUUGACCUUUCUGUCAAGCUCAAAAUGGAUGUAGGGGUUGACCUUCUCAAGGGAUAUCACUAUGAAGAUGUUACUAGUGUUACUUGUCCUCUUGACCUUUCUGUCAAGCUCAAAAUGGAUGUAGGUAUCCUCUUUCCUCUCCUAAAUCCUAUUGAAGCCUGGUGGGGAAGCUCAAUUUCCUCACUCACACUAGACCUGACUUGGCCUUUGCUGAACAGUAUCUUAGUCAAUAUCUUCAGAAGCCUACUUCCUCUCACAUGCAUGCAGCCUUGCAUACACUCAAAUAUCUUAGAGAAUCUUCUGAAGUUGGGGUCUUCAUCAGCAACACCCCUGACCUCUCCUUGUCUGCCUAUUGUGAUAGUGACUGGGCUUCCUGCCCAGACACUAGGAGAUCUGUCUCUGGAUUUUGCAUUUUAGAGGUUCUUCUGAAGCUGGGGUCUUCAUCAACAACACCCCUGACCUCUCCUUGUCUGCCUAUUGUGAUAGUGACUGGGUUUUGAGCCCAGACACUAGGAGAUCUGUCUCUGGGUUUUGCAUUCUAUUGGGUGGCUCUCUUAUUGGUUGGAAGGCUAAGAAACAGCAUGUGGUGUCCCUGUCUUUUGCUGAGGCUGAGUACAGGGCCAUCAGUAAAGUUGUUGGUGAGCUCACCUGGCUUGUUAGACUUUUGUCUGAUUUUGGUGUUUUUGUUCCCUCUGCUGUACCUUUUUUCUGUGAUAAUCAGGCAGGACUUCAUAUUGCAAAGAAUUCUGUGUUCCACAAACGCACCAAACACAUUGAAGUGGAUUUCCACUUCAUCAAAACCAAGCUUCAGGAAGGCCUUAUUGCCUUGCAUCAUGUUCCCACUGCCUCUCAGCUUGCUGAUAUCUUUACUAAGCCAUUGAAUGGAAUUCUGCAUCACUCCAUACUGCUCAAGCUGCGGGUUCAAUCACCCUCCACCUUGAAGGGGGCGUUCCUUGACAGGCCUUAUGCAUCAUUCUAUAUUGCUCAAGCUGGGGGUUCAGUCACCCUCCACCUUGAAGAGGGGUGUUGGAGUUAAAGAGCCUGCAGCCCAAGCACUGGACCAGCCCAAGCAAUUCAAGCAGCCUAAGCAGCAAGCCCAUACACACUGAUACACAAUUAUAUUUAUGUUGCCCCAAACAUUGUUUAUAUUCUAGAGAGUUCUAUACAUAUUUUUCGGAUUCUUUUUGCAAAAAGAUAGAUACAGAAAUAGAGAUAGACAGUCGAUUUCCUCUCUCUCUUAUCAUCUCUUCAAUCUCUCACCAUACAUCUCGAUCAAUCAAUGGGAUUCAAUGUUUUCACACUUAGUUUAGGACUGAAAUUCUUCAAAGCUUACUGACCG
RNAcentral lists this long non-coding RNA (2600 nucleotides) under Nicotiana benthamiana. Its description in RNAcentral is "long non-coding RNA (NBEN_LNC032128)". The record is from RNAcentral. Lineage: Eukaryota; Viridiplantae; Streptophyta; Magnoliopsida; Solanales; Solanaceae.